This 545-nucleotide ribosomal RNA is filed under the name uncultured bacterium. Its description in RNAcentral is "bacterial SSU rRNA". It matches the Rfam family "Bacterial small subunit ribosomal RNA", at positions 777 to 1320 of the family's 1533-position model. The record is from RNAcentral.
AAUAGAUACCCGGGUAGUCCACGCCGUAAACGAUGAGUGCUAAGUGUUAGGGGGUUUCCGCCCCUUAGUGCUGCAGCUAACGCAUUAAGCACUCCGCCUGGGGAGUACGGUCGCAAGACUGAAACUCAAAGGAAUUGACGGGGGCCCGCACAAGCGGUGGAGCAUGUGGUUUAAUUCGAAGCAACGCGAAGAACCUUACCAGGUCUUGACAUCCCAUUGACCACUAUGGAGACAUAGUUUUCCCUUCGGGGACAACGGUGACAGGUGGUGCAUGGUUGUCGUCAGCUCGUGUCGUGAGAUGUUGGGUUAAGUCCCGCAACGAGCGCAACCCUUGUUCUUAGUUGCCAUCAUUUAGUUGGGCACUCUAAGGAGACUGCCGGUGACAAACCGGAGGAAGGUGGGGAUGACGUCAAAUCAUCAUGCCCCUUAUGACCUGGGCUACACGCGUGCUACAAUGGACGGUACAAACGGUUGCCAACCCGCGAGGGGGAGCUAAUCCGAUAAAACCAUUCUCAGUUCGGAUUGUAGGCUGCAACUCGCCUACA